CGCAUUUUUCGCUCCCUGUUUUCGGUCCUUUAUGUCCGCCUUUUCGCUUCCCCCUCUGGCACUGUACCUCUUCCUUACUUCUCCUCUCCGCGUCUUUCCGCUGGCACUGUACUUCUUCCUUACCUCUCCUCCGCGUUUUCGGCAUGUGGGCCCCUUGCGCAGCAGCUUCUCCCUCUCCCUUUCUCGCGAACCCUAUGUUCUCCUACCGUUACCGUCUACGCAGAUCCGCCGCUUCCCCGGAAAUUCCUCUCUCCCUGGACCGUACGCCUGUAUCUACCCAAAACGGCGCAUUUAAUGGCGCCGCGCAACUCCGCUGGCACUGUACGUCUUCCUUACCGCUUCUCUCCGCGUUUUCGGCACCUCUCCGCGGAUUCGCUGCUUCCCCGGAAAUCCCUCCCUCCCUCGCCCGUACGCCUGUAUCUACCCAAAUCGGGGCAUUUAAUGGCGCCGCGCAACUCCCG
RNAcentral lists this long non-coding RNA (461 nucleotides) under Ananas comosus (pineapple). RNAcentral's name for it is "long non-coding RNA (ACOM_LNC044817)". Lineage: Eukaryota; Viridiplantae; Streptophyta; Magnoliopsida; Poales; Bromeliaceae. The record is from RNAcentral.